Molecule: ribosomal RNA, 497 nt
Filed under: uncultured bacterium
Lineage: Bacteria
Description: partial 16S ribosomal RNA
Rfam family: Bacterial small subunit ribosomal RNA
Source: RNAcentral
GAUGAACGCUGGCGGCGUGCCUAAUACAUGCAAGUCGAGCGAACAGACGAGGAGCUUGCUCCUCUAACGUUAGCGGCGGACGGGUGAGUAACACGUGGAUAACCUACCUAUAAGACUGGGAUAACUUCGGGACACCGGAGCUAAUACCGUAUAAUAUAUUGAACCGCAUGGUUCAAUAGUGAAAGACGGUUUUGCUGUCACUUAUAGAUGGAUCCGCGCCGCAUUAGCUAGUUGGUAAGGUAACAGCUUACCAAGGCAACGAUGCGUAGCCGACCUGAGAGGGUGAUAGGCCACACUAGAGCUGAGACACGGUCCAGACGCCUACGGGAGGCAGCAGUAGGGAAUCUUACGCAAUGGGCGAAAGCCUGACGGAGCAACGCCGCGUGAGUGAUGAAGGUCUUCGGAUCGUAAAACUCUGUUAUUAGGGAAGAACAAAUGUGUAAGUAACUAUGCACGUCUUGACGGUACCUAAUCAGAAAGCCACGGCUAACUACGUG